This 1288-nucleotide ribosomal RNA is filed under the name uncultured bacterium. RNAcentral's name for it is "bacterial SSU rRNA". It matches the Rfam family "Bacterial small subunit ribosomal RNA", at positions 67 to 1342 of the family's 1533-position model. The record is from RNAcentral.
GGGCAGCGGGGGCGAAGCUUGCUUCGCCUGCCGGCGACCGGCGCACGGGUGAGUAACACGUAUGCGACCUGCCCCCCGCAGGGGGAUAACCGGGAGAAAUCCCGACUAAUACCGCGUAACGCCGCUGGGCUGCAUGGCCCGGCGGCCAAAGGAAGCGAUUCCGGCGGGGGAUGGGCAUGCGGCGCAUUAGCUAGUCGGCGGGGUAACGGCCCACCGAGGCGACGAUGCGUAGGGGUUCUGAGAGGAAGGUCCCCCACACUGGUACUGAGACACGGACCAGACUCCUACGGGAGGCAGCAGUGAGGAAUAUUGGUCAAUGGGCGGGAGCCUGAACCAGCCAGGUCGCGUGAGGGAAGACGGUCCUACGGAUUGUAAACCUCUUUUGCCGGGGAGCAACGGGGUCCUUGCGAGGGCCCGAUGAGAGUACCCGGAGAAAAAGCAUCGGCUAACUCCGUGCCAGCAGCCGCGGUAAUACGGAGGAUGCGAGCGUUAUCCGGAUUUAUUGGGUUUAAAGGGUGCGUAGGCGGGCUGUUAAGUCAGCGGUCAAAUGUCGGGGCUCAACCCCGGCCUGCCGUUGAAACUGGCGGCCUCGAGUGGGCGAGAAGUAUGCGGAAUGCGUGGUGUAGCGGUGAAAUGCAUAGAUAUCAGAGCAGAACUCCGAUUGCGAAGGCAGCAUACCGGCGCCCGACUGACGCUGAGGCACGAAAGCGUGGGUAUCGAACAGGAUUAGAUACCCUGGUAGUCCACGCAGUAAACGAUGAAUGCUAGCUGUCCGGUUCUACGGGACUGGGUGGCACAGCGAAAGCGUUAAGCAUUCCACCUGGGGAGUACGCCGGCAACGGUGAAACUCAAAGGAAUUGACGGGGGCCCGCACAAGCGGAGGAACAUGUGGUUUAAUUCGAUGAUACGCGAGGAACCUUACCCGGGCUCAAACGCCAAAGGACAGCCGUUGAAAGGCGGCCUCCCUCCGGGGUCUUUGGCGAGGUGCUGCAUGGUUGUCGUCAGCUCGUGCCGUGAGGUGUCGGCUUAAGUGCCAUAACGAGCGCAACCCCCAUCGACAGUUGCUAACGGGUAGAGCCGAGGACUCUGUCGAGACUGCCGGCGCAAGCUGCGAGGAAGGCGGGGAUGACGUCAAAUCAGCACGGCCCUUACGUCCGGGGCGACACACGUGUUACAAUGGCCGGUACAGCGGGAUGCCAGGGCGCGAGCCCGAGCGGAACCCGAAAACCGGUCUCAGUUCGGAUUGGAGUCUGCAACCCGACUCCAUGAAGCUGGAUUCGCUAGUAAU